This 506-nucleotide ribosomal RNA is filed under the name uncultured bacterium. RNAcentral describes it as "partial 16S ribosomal RNA". It matches the Rfam family "Bacterial small subunit ribosomal RNA", at positions 29 to 523 of the family's 1533-position model. The record is from RNAcentral.
AGUGAACGCUGGCGGUAGGCCUAACACAUGCAAGUCGAACGGCAGCACAGGAGAGCUUGCUCUCUGGGUGGCGAGUGGCGGACGGGUGAGGAAUACAUCGGAAUCUACUCUGUCGUGGGGGAUAACGUAGGGAAACUUACGCUAAUACCGCAUACGACCUACGGGUGAAAGCAGGGGACCUUCGGGCCUUGCGCGAUUGAAUGAGCCGAUGUCGGAUUAGCUAGUUGGCGGGGUAAAGGCCCACCAAGGCGACGAUCCGUAGCUGGUCUGAGAGGAUGAUCGGCAACACUGGAACUGAGACACGGUCCAGACUCCUACGGGAGGCAGCAGUGGGGAAUAUUGGACAAUGGGCGCAAGCCUGAUCCAGCCAUACCGCGUGGGUGAAGAAGGCCUUCGGGUUGUAAAGCCCUUUUGUUGGGAAAGAAAUCCAGCUGGCUAAUACCCGGUUGGGAUGACGGUACCCAAAGAAUAAGCACCGGCUAACUUCGUGCCAGCAGCCGCGGUAA